UAGAUGUAUAAAAGCAAUGCCUGGUGU
Molecule: non-coding RNA, 27 nt
Filed under: Homo sapiens (human)
Lineage: Eukaryota; Metazoa; Chordata; Mammalia; Primates; Hominidae
Source: RNAcentral